RNAcentral lists this ribosomal RNA (695 nucleotides) under uncultured Gilliamella sp. RNAcentral's name for it is "bacterial SSU rRNA". It matches the Rfam family "Bacterial small subunit ribosomal RNA", at positions 662 to 1357 of the family's 1533-position model. The record is from RNAcentral. Lineage: Bacteria; Pseudomonadati; Pseudomonadota; Gammaproteobacteria; Orbales; Orbaceae.
UAGAAUUCCACGUGUAGCGGUGAAAUGCGUAGAGAUGUGGAGGAAUACCGGUGGCGAAGGCGGCCUUCUGGACAGAUACUGACGCUGAGAUGCGAAAGCGUGGGGAGCAAACAGGAUUAGAUACCCUGGUAGUCCACGCCGUAAACGAUGUCGAUUUGGAGUUUGUUGCCUAGAGUGAUGGGCUCCGAAGCUAACGCGAUAAAUCGACCGCCUGGGGAGUACGGCCGCAAGGUUAAAACUCAAAUGAAUUGACGGGGGCCCGCACAAGCGGUGGAGCAUGUGGUUUAAUUCGAUGCAACGCGAAGAACCUUACCUGGUCUUGACAUCCACAGAAUCUUGCAGAGAUGCGAGAGUGCCUUCGGGAACUGUGAGACAGGUGCUGCAUGGCUGUCGUCAGCUCGUGUUGUGAAAUGUUGGGUUAAGUCCCGCAACGAGCGCAACCCUUAUCCUUUGUUGCCAGCGAUUCGGUCGGGAACUCAAAGGAGACUGCCGUUGAUAAAGCGGAGGAAGGUGGGGACGACGUCAAGUCAUCAUGGCCCUUACGACCAGGGCUACACACGUGCUACAAUGGCGUAUACAAAGGGAGGCGACCUCGCGAGAGCAAGCGGACCUCAUAAAGUACGUCUAAGUCCGGAUUGGAGUCUGCAACUCGACUCCAUGAAGUCGGAAUCGCUAGUAAUCGUGAAUCAGAAUGU